GAAUGAUCAAGCACCUAAGGGUGCAUGGUGGAUGGUUAGGCUAUCAGAGGCGACGAAGGACGCGCCAAGCUGCGAUAAGCCUGGGGGAGCUGCACUGAAGCUACGAUCCCAGGAUUUCCGAAUGGGGCAACCCACUGAGGCAACCCCUCAGUACUGCGAAAGCAGAGCAAACCCGGUGAAUUGAAACAUCUUAGUAGCCGGAGGAAGAGAAAUCGAAUGAGAUGGCGUUAGUAGCGGCGAGCGAACACGCCAGAGCCUAAACCGGUCGGCUUGCCGACCGGGGUUGUAGGGCCCGCGACAUGGGACUCAGAACGCGAGCAGAAGCAUCUGGAAAGAUGCCCGAUACAGGGUGAUAGGCCCGUACGCGCAGUGAACUGAGCCCUAGUGGGUACCUGAGUAACGCAAGACCCGUGAAAUCCUGCGUGAAGCUAGGGCGACCACGCUCUAAGGCUAAAUACUCCUGAUAGACCGAUAGUGCACGAGUAGCGCGAGCGAACACUGAAAAGCACCCCUGGCGGGGAGUGAAAUAGACCCUGAAACCAUGCACUUACAAGCAGUCGUAGACCUAUGGCCCGCAAGGAGUCCAGGUUGGCGGCGUGCCUUUGCAUAAUGACCCAGCGACUUACCGUUUGCAGCGAGCUUAAGGACUUACGGUCCGGAGGCGUAGGGAAACCGAGUGUGAAAAGCGCGACAAGUUGUAGGCGGUAGACCCGAAACUUAGUGAUCUAGCCAUGAGCAGGUUGAAGCGACGGUAACACGUCGUGGAGGACCGAACCCGUGACCGUUGAAAAGGUUUGGGAUGACUUGUGGCUAGGAGCAAAAGACUAAUCAAACUGAGAGAUAUCUGGUUCUCCUCGAAAUAUAUAUAGGUAUAGGCUCACGGAAUUAUUCUAUGGAGGUAAAGCACUGAAUGGGCUAGGGGCCUCACCGGGUUACCAAACCCAAUCAAACUCUGAAUGCCAUAGAAUGUAUCGUGGGGCUCAGACAGUGGGGGAUAAUCUUCAUUGUCAAAAGGGAAAGAGCCCAGACCAACAGCUAAGGUCCCAAAAUAUCUGCUUAGUGGUAAAGGAAGUCAUUGUGCUCAGACAGCCAGGAUGUUGGCUUAGAAGCAGCCAUCAUUUAAAGAGUGCGUAACAGCUCACUGGUCGAUGCACGGUGGUGCCGAAAAUAACCGGGGCUCAAGCGAUAUACCGAAGCUUUGGCUGUGACGAUAUUCGUAUCGUCACGGGGUAGAGGAGCGUUGCAUGCGGGAUGAAGGCGGACUGAAAAGACCGUUGGACUGCACGCAAGUGAUUAUGCUGGGAUGAGUAACGAUAAAGCAGGUGAGAAUCCUGCUCACCGUAAGCCUACGGUUUCCUCCGGAAGGUCAUUCCGCGGAGGGUGAGGCGGCCCCUAAGUCGAGGCCGACAGGCGUAGACGAUGGACAGACGGUUAAUAUUCCGUCCCUAUCAACGAGGUGCCCACGGAGAACGCAUGAGACUAACACGGUGGAUCCAGAAGCUGGACCACGUUGGUGCGCGGUUUGCCCUUUUGAAAGAUUGGGCGCACGCUUCGCACUCGCCAAGGCCCUUGAGGCGUAUAGGCGUGUGAUGUCAUGGUGCCGAGAAAAGUCCGUCGGGAGUUAACGUCGUUGAUAACCGUACUCGAAACCGACACAGGUAGGCGAGGAGAAUAUCCUCAGGUGCGCGAGAGAACUCUGGUUAAGGAACUCGGCAAAUUCACUCCGUAACUUCGGGAGAAGGAGUGCCAACAGCUAUUCGCAAGAAGAACCUGGUGGCCGCAGUGAAGAGGCCCAACCGACUGUUUACUAAAAACACAGUACUCUGCUAACUCGCAAGAGGAUGUAUAGGGUAUGAUGCCUGCCCGGUGCUCGAAGGUUAAGGGGAGGGGUCAGCCGCAAGGCGAAGCUCUGAACUCAAGCCCGAGUAAACGGCGGCCGUAACUAUGACGGUCCUAAGGUAGCGAAAUUCCUUGUCGGGUAAGUUCCGACCUGCAUGAAAGGCAUAACGAGUUGGGCACUGUCUCAAC
This 2028-nucleotide ribosomal RNA is filed under the name Pyrinomonadaceae bacterium. Its description in RNAcentral is "partial 23S ribosomal RNA". It matches the Rfam family "Bacterial large subunit ribosomal RNA", at positions 1 to 2025 of the family's 2925-position model. The record is from RNAcentral. Lineage: Bacteria; Pseudomonadati; Acidobacteriota; Blastocatellia; Blastocatellales; Pyrinomonadaceae.